CACGUAGGGGGCGAGCGUUGUCCGGAUUUAUUGGGCAUAAAGAGCUCGUAGGCGGCUCGGUAAGUCGGGUGUGAAACCUCCAGGCUCAACCUGGAGACGCCACCUGAUACUGCUGUGGCUAGAGUCCGGUAGGGGAGUGUGGAACUCCUGGUGUAGCGGUGAAAUGCGCAGAUAUCAGGAAGAACACCAGCGGCGAAGGCGGCACUCUGGGCCGGAACUGACGCUGAGGAGCGAAAGCGUGGGUAGCAAACAGG
RNAcentral lists this ribosomal RNA (254 nucleotides) under uncultured bacterium. Its description in RNAcentral is "partial 16S ribosomal RNA". It matches the Rfam family "Bacterial small subunit ribosomal RNA", at positions 524 to 776 of the family's 1533-position model. The record is from RNAcentral.